RNAcentral lists this ribosomal RNA (489 nucleotides) under uncultured bacterium. RNAcentral's name for it is "partial 16S ribosomal RNA". It matches the Rfam family "Bacterial small subunit ribosomal RNA", at positions 29 to 504 of the family's 1533-position model. The record is from RNAcentral.
AGUGAACGCUGGCGGUAGGCCUAACACAUGCAAGUCGAACGGCAGCACAGUAAGAGCCUGCUCUUACGGGUGGCGAGUGGCGGACGGGUGAGGAAUACAUCGGAAUCUACUUUUUCGUGGGGGAUAACGUAGGGAAACUUACGCUAAUACCGCAUACGACCUACGGGUGAAAGCAGGGGAUCUUCGGACCUUGCGCGACUGAAUGAGCCGAUGUCGGAUUAGCUAGUUGGCGGGGUAAAGGCCCACCAAGGCGACGAUCCGUAGCUGGUCUGAGAGGAUGAUCAGCCACACUAGAACUGCGACACGGUCCAGACUCCUACGGGAGGCAGCAGUGGGGAAUAUUGGACAAUGGGCGCAAGCCUGAACCAGCCAUACCGCGUGGGUGAAGAAGGCCUUCGGGUUGUAAAGCCCUUUUGUUGGGAAAGAAAAGCAGCAGGUUAAUACCCCGCUGUUCUGACGGUACCCAAAGAAUAAGCGCCGGCUUACUUC